UUUUAUGAAAACAAAAACAAUUCCACGUCUACUCGUAGAAAACAGAAAAAAGCUAUUUUCAUUCUCACAGGAAACAACACUGAAAACACGCUGCUUCUCUCCCCAUCAGACCAAAACCACCGUCAAACGCUGCCAACAGAGAAUCACACACAGAGCUUGAACCACCAACAUCACCCAAUCAAAAUCACCACUGCCCCAUCGAACCAGAUUGACAUCACUGCCACUCAAUUGAACCCAACAAAAUCUCUACGCAAUUGAAUUGAACUACCAUCGUUGAACAACUAAUUGCCGAAUCAAUUUUCAGUCCAAGAAAAGGAAAAUGAGCUGAGAAGCUAUUGGAAGGUGAGGUUGCAGUGAGAGAGAGACAGAGAGAGGGUGCAGCAGCAUGAAGAGAAAGUGGAAAAAAAGGGGGUUGGUCUGAUUCUUCAAUUUUGGAGAGAGAGAGAGAGAGAGAGAGAGAGAGAGAGAGAGAGAGAGAGAGAGAGGAAUGAUAGAAUUGGGGUGGGUUUGCAGAGAGUGAAAGCGAAGGUUGGGU
This 535-nucleotide long non-coding RNA is filed under the name Prunus dulcis (almond). RNAcentral describes it as "sRNA ncRNA". Lineage: Eukaryota; Viridiplantae; Streptophyta; Magnoliopsida; Rosales; Rosaceae. The record is from RNAcentral.